Molecule: long non-coding RNA, 7283 nt
Filed under: Mytilus galloprovincialis (Mediterranean mussel)
Lineage: Eukaryota; Metazoa; Mollusca; Bivalvia; Mytilida; Mytilidae
Source: RNAcentral
AGUGGUGUAUUCACAUGUGAUCAUUUGUUGGUAAGUAUAUUUUUCAUAGCUUCAUUUAUAUAGGAAAUGUUAUCAACUUAUCCUUUUUUAAUAAUAGUUUGUUUGUAAUUUUACAAUAUUAUCAUAUCCCCAAGUUUUGUAGGAUACUUCCUUAUUUUUGGUGUCGGCUAUCUGGUAAAAGAAGGUCCAACUAGAGACUAUGGAACGCCAUGACUGUCUUCUGAUGUUGAUUGUUCAAUAUGUUCAGUGCUUAAAGCAUCAAAUUCAGUAGUAUUUAUAUAAUGUUCAGUACUUUCGACGUUCUGUUCAGAAGAUUCAAUAUAAUUUGCAAUACAUUAUGUAUUACCUUCAGUGGUCUCAGUUUCUUUAUAUUCGGUGGAUUAAUCAUUAUGUUCAGUAAAAUCAUCAGUAUACUAUACUCGGUUCAAUGAACUAUAUGUCAUGUAUGUUAAGUGGUUAUAUCAUUAUAAUGAUGCAGUAAAAGUCGGGAAAUCAAUCACGGAAAUUGUCCAAAAAAAACGAACGCGGAUAUUUUUGACGGACAAUUUCUUCAUGGACACCUUUACCAUUUUACGGGCUGGAAUGAAAAUGGAAGAAAUGGAAGCAGCAAUAAAUCGGUUUGGUUUACGUUCCCUCGUUGGCAAUUUUCACAAGAAAAAUUAACUUCCGACUUAAUUUGUAAGAUGUCAUGAUUGAUUGUUUGUUGUUUUUUGAACUUACAGUGGGAAAUAUUUCAUGCAUAUUUAGGACGGAGAGAAGAAUUUGUAUUCCAGAAACAAGAAGUUGCAUGCGUUGUUGGAGAUACACAAUGACCAUAGAGAGACGACAAAUUAAUAGUGUCCAUCAUUGUGUCAGAAAUUAUUACAAAAAUGAUAAAACGAUGUAAUAAUUUAUGAAACAAUUGCAGAAGAUUGAAAGGUAAUCUUUGUCUGCAAUAGUGGAAGAAAUCGUACGUCAAGAUUUGUUAACUCGUGCAAGAUCGUCAUUUCCGAAGAAAAUAUCGAUUGUACAUAAUUUGCAUGGUAACAUCAAUGAACCAGUUCUUAAACGACCAGUUCAACAUUCCAUUCCAUAUCAAUAAUAAAUUCGGUAUUCAGAAAAAGUUUAGUUUUUCUUUUUAUCAUUUAAGGUGGUAUAGGAGUCUGAAUUAAAAAUGAUAGAAUUUGUUCAUACUUUGUCAAAACGUAGUAUAUAUUGAUACAUGUUAAAAAAUAUAAUAAAAAUGAUAGAUUACCGCGCAUUUCCUUAAGCUACAGGUUGUGACAAAAUGACACAUUUUAUAUGGAUUAUACAGGAAAAAACACCAUUAUGUGAUUAGCAACUAAAAUAAAUGAUAGAAUUUUUAAAUGAAAUACGAGAAGAUAGCUUUUAAAAGUGCUUUGAGAAUAUCAAAAGAAAAGAUAGGGUCACCGUGAGUUUUUUCCGGCUAAUAUACAAAAUAGCAAAUUCUAUGUAGAUUCCUCAGAAAAUGCUCUAUUAUAGAGUUACCUCCCUUCAAAACGCAAAUUCAAAAACAUUAAAAAAAAUGUAAAAACUAAUCAACACUUGUAAUAUAUUAAUAUCUAUAAGUUAUAAUCUUAUAAAUUUGUUCUUUUAAUUGUAAAUUCACAUUAGUUAUCUGCAUUCCUGCAUCAAAUUUUGCUAACUAUAUUGAAAAUCUGGACCUUAGAUUCUCUGUUUUUUACAAUCCAAGAUGGCAAAAGACACCUUGAUUCUGUAAUUACUUCAUUUAUUCCAGUUUAAAAUAAUUUUAACACCCCUUUAUUAUCUUUUCUUUUUCUUUUUUACCAACUUUUUGGUUUUUUUUGGGGUGAGGGACAUUAUUCUCUAUUCUGUUAACCUCAUCCACAACCUCAUAUAUCUUGGGUUACUUCAAAUAAAUGCCUGAUAUCCACGCGCCAAUUAAACAUGUGUAGGAUGCAGAAUAGUAUAAGUAUAUCUACAAGAAGAUUUUAGGUGGUCUCUUAAAAGUCAUUGUAUGAGGUUAAUAUGCUACAACCAACCAACAAAAAAGGGUUAACUACUAGGAAUACUAAAAUUAAAUAAUAUGUUUUAGGUUUGCACUCCGUCAAUAUGUCCGUCUGUCUGUCUGUCAAUCAGUCAGUCCGGCAAAUCAGUUUCCACAAUUUUUUCUUCGUUCUUGAAGAUAUUGAUUUGAUAUUUGGUAUAUAGUUUAAUCAUGACAAGCUAUAGAUCAAGUUCGAUUUUUUUCUCGGUCUGAUGAUUUACUCCAGAGUAAUGGUCUUUAUCUAAUGUUAAACCAUAUUUCUGUCCAAAACAAGAUAACUCCUUUUGUCAAUGACAUUCUUUGGUAUAUAAUAAGCAUAUGAUAAAAAGAUCAUAACAUGUCAUUUUUCAUAUCUCAUGUAUUAUCAGCCCUGGGUCAAUAUCAGCCCUCGAACCAUGCGGCUCUUGGGCUGAUAUUGAACCUAGGGCUGAUAAUUCAUGCGAUAUGAAAAAUGCCAUGUAAUAAUCUGAUAAUAUUAUAUUGUGUAGAUAAAAGAUGUUGACAUUUUAUAGGUCAAUUACAAAUCUAUUAUAUUCCCAAUUACCAUUCUCAGUUUUUGUUUAGGACAAAUGGACGAAAAAAUAUUUGGAACUAUUAAAUAUAUUUGAUUAUAAUUUGAAAAUAGUAUUACAUUAUAUCUAAAUUUAGUGAACUAUUUAUCAUAUGUAAUGUUAGAGUGUUUUCCAUACUUUUUUCAUCAUGCUUAAAGAUAGUGGUUGAUAAUCUGUAUAUAGUUUUAUCAUGACAAGUUACAAAUUAAGAUUUUCGUUUCAGUCUGAUAAUUUUGUUCAGAGCUAUGGUCAAUGGACUAGAAAAUUCACUCAUAUAAUCAGUUUUCUACACUGCUUUUAGACAUGCUUGAAGAUAUUGACUUGAUAUUUUCUCUAUGUUUACACCAUGACAAGUUAUAAAACAAGUUAGUAUUUUGUUCCAGUAUAAUGAAUUUUUACCCGGUAGGCGACUAUAUAUUGCCAUGCAAUACUCGCAGAAUGCUUGUUAUAUUAUAUUUUUUGCUGUUUGUCUUUUUGUCGCCUAUCUAUGGUCAUGGUGUAUCAACGACAACGCAUGCAACUUAUAAUGUCUUGCUUAAAUUUUUUUUCUCCGUCAUAAAUAUGCGUGAAAUAUUUGCCACUGUACGUUCAGAAAACACUGAACAAUCAAUCAAUCAUGAUAUAUUACAAAUUAAGUCAGGAGUCAAUUUUUCCUUGUGAAAAUUGCUAACGUGGGAACGUAAACCAAACCGAUUUAUUACUGCUUCCAUUUCUUCCAUUUCCAUUCCAUCAUGUAUAUAAAAGAUGAAAAGCUAUAAUCCAAAAGGUCAAAAAGUAUAGCCAAAGGUAAAGGUGUCCACGAAGAAAACGUCCCUCAAAAAUGUCGAAAAUCAGUUUAUAUGAAAUAACAAACAAACCUGCCACAAAAUUCUUCAGACAAUUUACCAAAGAAUGUCAUUGAAAAAAUGAGUUAUCUCCCUUUGGACAGAAAUAUGGUUUAACAAUAGAUAUGAACCAUAACUCUGGAGUAAAUCAUCAGACCGGGAAAACAUCGAACUUGAUCUAUAGCUUUUCAUGAUAAAACUAUAUACCAAAUAUCAAAUCAAACUCUUCAAGAAUGAAGAAAAAAAAAAUUGGAAACUGAUUUGCCGGACUGACCGAUUGACAGACAGUCAGACAGACGGACAGAUUGACGAAGUGCAAACCUAACACAUAUUAUUUAAUUUUAGUAUUACUAGUAGUUAACCCUUUUUGUUUGUGGUUGUAGCAUAUAAACUUCACACACCGACUUUUAAGAGACCAUCUAAAAUCUCUUUGUAGAUAUACUAAUACUAUUCUGCAUCCUACACCUGCUAAUAGACGCUUGGAUGUCAGGCAUUUAUUUGAAAUAAUCCAAGAUAUAUGAGGUUGUUGAUGAGGUUUACAGAAUAGAGAAUAAUGCCCCUCCCCCAAAAAGAAAAGAAAAGUUGGUAAAAAAGAAUAGAGAAUAAAGGGGUGCAUAAAUGUAAAAAAAAACCCAACAUGUUUAAAUUUUGGAAAAAUGAAGUGAUUACAGAAUUAAAUGAUUAAGAGAAUACCUAAACUGAAUACCGAAUCUAUUAUUGAUAUGGAAUGGAAUGUUGAACUGGUCGUUUCAGAACUGGUUCAUUGAUGUUACCAUGCAAAUUAUGUACAAUCGAUAUUUUCUUCGAAAAUGACGAUCUUGCACGAGUUAACAAAUCUUGACGUACGAUUUCGUACAAUAUUACAAACAAAGAUAACCUUGCAAUCUUCUGCAAUUGUUUAUUAUUGUUUUAUCAUUUUUGUAAUAGUUUCUGACGCAAUGAUGGUCAAAAUUGAUUUGUCGUCUCUCUAUGGUCAUUGUGUAUCACCGACAACGCAUGCAACUUCUUGUUUCUUGAAUAAAAAUUCUUCUCUCCGUCCUAAAUAUGCGUGAAAUAUUUGCCACUGUACGUUUAGAAAACAACAAUCGACCAAUCAUGACAUCUUACAAAUUAAGUCGGGAGUUAAAUUUUCCUAGUUAAAAUUGCCUCGUGGAACGUAAACCAAAUCGAUUUAUUGUUGCUUCCAUCUCUUCCAUUUUCAUUGAAAACCGUAAAAUGGAAAAGGUGUCUUUGAAAAAAAAUGUCCGUCAAAAAUAUCCGCGUUCUUUUUUUUUGACAAUUUCCGUGAUUGAUUUCCCGACUUUUACUGCAUCAUUACAAUGAUACAACCACUGAACAUAUAGUUCAUUGAGCCGAGUAUACUGCUGAUGCUUUUACUGAACAUAAUAAUUAAUCCACCGAAUAUAAAGAAACUGAGACUACUGAAGGUAAUACAUAAUGUAUUGCAAGUAAUGUUGAAUCUACUGAACAGAACGUCGAAAGUACUGAACAUUAUGAAGAAGUCACUGAAUAUAACGUCAGAAGUACAGAACAUAAUUUAAAUACCACUUCAUAAAAUAAAGAAACUGAACAUUAUAACCUAAGUACCGAUUAUAAUGUCAAAACUACUGAACAUAAUGUCAAAACUACUGAACAUAAUGUCAAAACUACUGAACAUAAUAUGAAAACUACUGAACAUAAUAUAAAAACUACUGAACAUAAUAUAAAUACUACUGAACAUAAGGCAUAAAGCACCGAACACAUUGAACAAUCAACACCAGAAGACAGUCCUGGCGUUCCAUAAGAGACUAAACAUUCUUUUGUCAAAUGGUAAUUAUGACGAAUGUUGAUCUUAAAGCAAUCAUACAUCAUCUCAUAGUGUUUCCCCACCUAAAACAUAUUAACAGUAGCAAUACGAAAGGAUUAAGUUAGUAUAAACUGGAACAUAUAUUUUGUUAGAUAAACUAAUCACAGGGUUACACAUAUUCAAAAUCAAAAUGAAUGCAUAAUUGAAGUUGCGAUUAGAAUGAUAAGUGAACAAGGAAAACACAUGUGCUAUUUUUUUUCCAUAAAUACAUUAUUGUUUGAUUACACAAUUUUGUCGUUCAAAAAAAAUAUGCAUAGAGAGUCGAGCAUGCUAAAAUCUAAUUUUUAUUUUUGAAUUCCGAUACGCAUGCUUAAUCAUAAACAAUAUUUAGUUAUUCAUAAUUGUAACUCCGAAUUCUUUUUAAUAACCAGAUGUGGUGAAAUAUAUGGCUUCAUUCUUUCCAUGUGGACCCUGUGGUCACGAAGGAAACACACAAAAUGCAGAGAAAUGGUGCACGGAUUGUAACGAAGGGUUUUGUUAUGUAUGUGAGAAGGCACAUAAGUCAAUGGGAAUAACGAGAGACCACAAUUUGAUCCUAAUCGAAGACUACCGUAAAAUUGAAAAUGUGAAUGUUUGUGUUCAGUGCGAGGAACAUGGAUCCAAGCUGGACAUGUAUUGCAAAGUGCAUGAAAAGGCAAUUUGUAUUGCAUGCUUUCCUACAAAGCAUAAAGAUUGCUCUGACUCCAUAAUUCCUCUUGCAGAAGCAGCGAAAAAUGCGAAAAAAUCCACUGCACUAGCGGACUUUGAACACACAAUAAACGAAACAUUAGUAAACAUACUAAAAUGUCGUAAUGAUCGCAAGGCUGCAACCGAAAGAAUCGAAAUACAAGAAAAAAUCAUCAAGAAGCGUAUUUUUGAUACGAGGGAAACUCUAAAUAAACAUUUAGAUGAUCUGGAAAGAAAAUUAUUAAAUGAGUUGACAACAUCACAUACUUGUUGUAAAUCAAAAUAUGGGACAAUACAGAUCAAACUAAAUGAAAUGGAAAAAGAAAUUAAACGCCUCCAAGAACAAACAUCCAAACUGAAACGUUUUGCCCCAGACAUACAGGUAUUUUUGAGUACAUAUCAGAUGAAUAAAAAAAUACACGACGAGGUAAAGUCCAUAACAAAAGCCUUACUUUCUGUUAGGGAUUACAACAUAGAAAUAGAGAUACACCAGGGUAUUACUACACUGCUGAAAGAUGUCGACUACUUUGCUAGGGUAAAAAUCGACGAAAGAACCAUCAACUGUCCAUUUAAGGAUGCGAAAAUCGAUCAAGCCCAAAUACAAGUACCAACCAGACAGCAAGUACCAACUAGAAGAUCUGUUCAUAAUACAAAGCUGCAUCUUCGAAAGAAGAUCAAAAUUGAACAGAAAGGAAGGGAAAUGUGCAUCACAGGAUGUGCAAUAUUGGCAAAUGGUAACUUAUUAAUUGCCGACAACGCUGGAGAGAAUGUAAUAAUGGAGUAUAAUAAAGACGGACGUUUAAUCCGUGAUAUACCCGUAUCAGCAAAGCCAUCAAAUCUGACAGUAAUAACUACCGACCAAAUUGCUGUUUCUUAUAACACUCUGAAGUACAUUGAGAUUAUAGAUUUAAAGAAAAUGAUAGUGCUGAAAACUGUGACAUUAAAAAAUAAUUGUUGGGGGAUAUCAUACAGGGAUGGAAAGAUUUACGUUGUGGUGUUCUGUGAAGGAAUCGUGGUGUUGGAUAUUGAGGGAACUAUACUUAAAACAAUCCAGUGUGACAUAUAUGUGAAUGAUAUCGCGACGAUCGGUGACAGAAUCUACUACACAGAGCUUAAUUCGAGUACUGUUAAAUGUUGUACUACAGCUGGAAACAGUAUAUGGAAUUUUAAGGAUAAAUCACUUACUACACCGGGCGGCAUUGCCACUGAUUGUGCCAAAAAUGUGUUUGUUGUGGGUAUAUAUUCUAAUAACCUUAUGAUAUUGCAAGAUGAUGGAACAGUCAGCAAAACAUUACUUACCGAAGCAGACGGGCUUAACAGAUCAACAAGUCUAUAUUACAGUAAGGAAACGAAGAGUUUACUGGUGUGCAACAAAUGCGAUCGAACUG